UAAAAAUAAAAUUUCAGUGGCAUUUUCGGAUUCGAAUGUAAUUAAUCUAAUUUCAUCGAUUUUGGGUAUGAACUAACCAGAUUUCUUACUGUGAAAUUUGUCACUCUGUUGAAGAUAUAUUAAACAACAUCACAGCGAUUUCUAUAUAAAGUUUUGAUAAUAAUUAUUAAUAAAAAUGUCUGAUCAUUGUGAGCAGAGAUUUUUAACAUCAAGUAGCUCGGUGAAUCAAAGAGGAACAAAAAAUGGACAGAAACCUUUUGAAUGCGAUGUAUGUGAGAAGAGAUAUAACAGAUCAGAUCAUUUAGCUGUGCAUAAGAGAACACACAUUGGAGACAAGCCUUAUGAAUGUGAUCUUUGCAAGAAGAAAUUUUCACAAUCAGGUAAUUUAGUAGUACAUAAGAGAACACACACUGGAGACAAACCUUAUGAAUGUAAUGUUUGUAAAAAGAAAUUUAUGCAAUUAAGCAGUCUUACUUGGCACAAAAAGGAGCAUUUGUUUUGCAAUAGUUGCCGCAAAGAGAUUAUUGAACCACAAGAUUUUCAAGGACACUUUGUCGAGUACAUUGGAAAGUACGGUUGUACUAAAUGUAACAAACGAUUCUCAAAUAUUUUGACAUUGGUUCAACAUAUAGCGAGACACCAUAGCAAUGAUGGAAACUAUCAAUGUGGUUUAUGUCAAGAACUGGAAUCAACAGAACCAACUGGUGUUGGAUAUGUUUGUUGUGUGUGCGAUGUCGUGUUUGAUGUUCCCAGAGAUCUUGAAGAUCACAUGGCCACCCAUGACUCAAUGUGAAUACUGUUGCCGGCUUUGAGUAUGCAGCGAGUUUAUGCAUAUAUAGAACAUUAAGAUUCCAGUUUAAGUUUUAUAAUUAUGAAAUAUACAUUGGCAUUUGUAUCAGACUAGUUUUUUAUAUUUCUCAUGCCUGUUAUUUGACUGCUAUGCGAGCUAGUGUAGAUACCACUACAUUGACAGAGAUUUUUUAUGUUCCUGAAUAUUUCAUUAAAUUGGAUGUAAUAAUGGA
Paramuricea clavata is the source of this 1022-nucleotide non-coding RNA. The record is from the annotation of a GenBank genome assembly. Lineage: Eukaryota; Metazoa; Cnidaria; Anthozoa; Malacalcyonacea; Plexauridae.